This 1235-nucleotide ribosomal RNA is filed under the name metagenome. RNAcentral's name for it is "bacterial LSU rRNA". It matches the Rfam family "Bacterial large subunit ribosomal RNA", at positions 1564 to 2808 of the family's 2925-position model. The record is from RNAcentral.
UGAAUACGAGAUGCUACGGCGUCGAAGCAGUCUAUGUCAUACUUCCAAGAAAAGCUUGCACUGUCAUAAACAAAUAAUGCCUGUACCAUAACCGACACAGGUGGGUAGGUAGAGUAUACUAAGGGGCGCGAGAUAACUCUCUCUAAGGAACUCGGCAAAAUGACUCCGUAACUUCGGGAGAAGGAGUGCCUUAUUUAUAAGGUUGCAAUAACAAGAUCCAAGCAACUGUUUACCAAAAACACAGGUCUCCGCUAAGUCGUAAGACGAUGUAUGGGGGCUGACGCCUGCCCAGUGCCGGAAGGUUAAGGAAGUUGGUUAGUUUCGACGAAGCUGAUAACUGAAGCCCUGGUGAACGGCGGCCGUAACAAUAACGGUCCUAAGGUAGCGAAAUUCCUUGUCGGGUAAGUUCCGACCCGCACGAAAGGCGUAAUGAUUUGGAUACUGUCUCGGAGAGGGGCUCGGUGAAAUAGACUUGUCUGUGAAGAUGCGGACUACCUGCACCAGGACAGAAAGACCCUAUGAAGCUUUACUGUAACCUGAAAUUGAAAUUGGACUUUACUUGCGCAGUAUAGGUGGGAGGCGUUGAGAAUAUUCUUGCGGGAUUAUUGGAGCCAUCAGUGAGAUACCACUCUUGUAAUGUUAGAUUUCUAACUUUGUAUCAUUAUCUGGUCAAAGAACAGUUUCAGGCGGGCAGUUUGACUGGGGCGGUCGCCUCCUAAACGGUAACGGAGGCGCACAAAGGUUUCCUCUGAACGGGUAGAAAUCGUAUCUGGAGUGUAAAGGCAUAAGGAAGCUUGACUGUGAGACCUACAAGUCGAGCAGGGACGAAAGUCGGUCUUAGUGAUCUGACGGUGCUGAGUGGAAAGGCCGUCACUCAACGGAUAAAAGUUACUCUAAGGAUAACAGGCUAAUCUCCCCCAAGAGUUCACAUCGACGGGGAGGUUUGGCACCUCGAUGUCGGCUCAUCGCAUCCUGGGGCGGUAGUACGUCCCAAGGGUUGGGCUGUUCGCCCAUGAAAGCGGUACGCGAGCUGGGUUCAGAACGUCGUGAGACAGUUCGGUCCAUAUCCGGUGUAGGCGUUAGAAUAUUGAGAGGAGCCUUCUUUAGUACGAGAGGACCGAGAAGGACAUACCUCUGGUGUACCAGUUAUCGUGCCAACGGUAAACGCUGGGUGGCUAUGUGUGGAGUGGAUAACCGCUGAAAGCAUCUAAGUGGGAAGCCCACCUCACGAUAAG